RNAcentral lists this microRNA precursor (101 nucleotides) under Cicer arietinum (chickpea). RNAcentral describes it as "mir-166 microRNA precursor family". It matches the Rfam family "mir-166 microRNA precursor family". Rfam says of the family: This family represents the plant microRNA (miRNA) precursor mir-166. Animal miRNAs are transcribed as ~70nt precursors and subsequently processed by the Dicer enzyme to give a ~22nt product. In plants the precursor sequences may be longer, and the carpel factory (caf) enzyme appears to be involved in processing. Lineage: Eukaryota; Viridiplantae; Streptophyta; Magnoliopsida; Fabales; Fabaceae. The record is from Rfam by way of RNAcentral.
GUUGAGGGGAAUAUAGUCUGGUUCAAGAUUAUUCAUAAAUAGUCUCUUUCUAAAAUAUAACUUUUAUGAAUAAUUUCGGACCAGACUUCAUUCCCCUCAGC